Molecule: ribosomal RNA, 1066 nt
Filed under: uncultured bacterium
Lineage: Bacteria
Description: bacterial SSU rRNA
Rfam family: Bacterial small subunit ribosomal RNA
Source: RNAcentral
ACAUUGGGACUGAGACACGACCCAGACUCCUACGGGAGGCAGCAGUGGGGAAUAUUGCACAAUGGGGGAAACCCUGAUGCAGCGACGCCGCGUGGAGGAAGAAAGUCUUUGGAUUGUAAACUUCCUGUUGUUGAGGAAGAUAAUGACGGUACUCAACAAGGAAGUGACGGCUAACUACGUGCCAGCAGCCGCGGUAAAACGUAGGUCACAAGCGUUGUCCGGAAUUACUGGGUGUAAAGGGAGCGCAGGCGGGAAGACAAGUUGGUAGUGAAAUCCAUGGGCUCAACCCAUGAACUGCUUUCAAAACUGUUUUUCUUGAGUAGUGCAGAGGUAGGCGGAAUUCCCGGUGUAGCGGUGGAAUGCGUAGAUAUCGGGAGGAACACCAGUGGCGAAGGCGGCCUACUGGGCACCAACUGACGCUGAGGCUCGAAAGUGUGGGUAGCAAACAGGAUUAGAUACCCUGGUAGUCCACACUGUAAACGAUGAUUACUAGGUGUUGGAGGAUUGACCCCUUCAGUGCCGCAGUUAACACAAUAAGUAAUCCACCUGGGGAGUACGACCGCAAGGUUGAAACUCAAAGGAAUUGACGGGGGCCCGCACAAGCAGUGGAGUAUGUGGUUUAAUUCGACGCAACGCGAAGAACCUUACCAAGUCUUGACAUCCUGCGGCGGACAUAGAAAUAUGUUUUUCCUUCGGGACGCAGAGACAGGUGGUGCAUGGUUGUCGUCAGCUCGUGUCGUGAGAUGUUGGGUUAAGUCCCGCAACGAGCGCAACCCUUAUGGUCAGUUACUACGCAAGAGGACUCUGGCCAGACUGCCGUUGACAAAACGGAGGAAGGUGGGGAUGACGUCAAAUCAUCAUGCCCUUUAUGACUUGGGCUACACACGUACUACAAUGGCGUUAAACAAAGAGAAGCAAGACCGCGAGGUGGAGCAAAACUCAGAAACAACGUCCCAGUUCGGACUGCAGGCUGCAACUCGCCUGCACGAAGUCGGAAUUGCUAGUAAUCGCAGAUCAGCAUGCUGCGGUGAAUACGUUCCCGGGCCUUGCACUCACCGCCCGUCAA